AUUGAACGCUGGCGGCAGGCCUAACACAUGCAAGUCGAGCGGCAGCGGGAAGUAGCUUGCUACUUUGCCGGCGAGCGGCGGACGGGUGAGUAAUGUCUGGGGAACUGCCUGAUGGAGGGGGAUAACUACUGGAAACGGUAGCUAAUACCGCAUAACGUCGCAAGACCAAAGUGGGGGACCUUCGGGCCUCAUGCCAUCGGAUGUACCCAGAUGGGAUUAGCUAGUAGGUGAGGUAAUGGCUCACCUAGGCGACGAUCCCUAGCUGGUCUGAGAGGAUGACCAGCCACACUGGAACUGAGACACGGUCCAGACUCCUACGGGAGGCAGCAGUGGGGAAUAUUGCACAAUGGGCGCAAGCCUGAUGCAGCCAUGCCGCGUGUAUGAAGAAGGCCUUCGGGUUGUAAAGUACUUUCAGCGGGGAGGAAGGUGUUGUGGUUAAUAACCGCAGCAAUUGACGUUACCCGCAGAAGAAGCACCGGCUAACUCCGUGCCAGCAGCCGCCGUAAUAC
RNAcentral lists this ribosomal RNA (509 nucleotides) under uncultured bacterium. RNAcentral's name for it is "bacterial SSU rRNA". It matches the Rfam family "Bacterial small subunit ribosomal RNA", at positions 30 to 526 of the family's 1533-position model. The record is from RNAcentral.